AGAAGAUUAUCAUGGCCCCUGUGCAAGGAAGGCAUGCAAAUGUGUCAAGAGUUGUAUAUGUCU
This 63-nucleotide small nuclear RNA is filed under the name Echinops telfairi (small Madagascar hedgehog). Lineage: Eukaryota; Metazoa; Chordata; Mammalia; Afrosoricida; Tenrecidae. The record is from RNAcentral.